AAUCUCGUAAUGGAGCCCGAUCAAAAUAAUUAAACAAAAACCUUAAACGCUUUCCGAAUGCAUAAAUCAAAGAAAGUCCACUUCCGACGAACGCUGAGCUCAUUUCGCCUUGAGACAAUCAAGAACGCAUUUUGCCAGUAGAUCACGCUCCAAAGUCCGCAACAACCUUUCGGAUACUCGAUGAUCAAAUACAACAAUGUUUCGAGCGUCGAAAAUCAGUUCUCUCUGCAAGAGCGCGCGAUUUUUUCCCCUGUGGCGGUAAGUUUUUGAUGUAUAUUUAUUGAACAAAUGCGUGCAACUCAGUCAAUUGGUCUGAAACUGGAAUUCCAUCCGGCCGUUUCUUCUUCAAAAAUCUCGGAAGCAAACUGAAGCAAAAAACCGAUUUUCCCAUUCGGGAACGUGGUUGGCAUCGGUAGUCUCACGCGCACACAUAGCAGCUAUGCGGCAGGCAACAUGGCCAACGCCGUGCUGCGUUCGAAAUUGCCACCUUCACAGCUAAAAUGUUUUAGUUUUGAACAAGGCAAAAAUGGGAAAAUAAUGGCGACAAUUUGGGUUCAUUGGCUGUAUUCGGGUUAUUGGGCAAUCGGCUAAAGCCACUCGAGUUUGUAAAAGGUCAAAACUCGACUUUUUUUUACUUACUUGGCUCUCAGUGCUAGUUGUCGAUCAUUCGGGCAGACGAAGCGGCUAGAAGUGGUUCCCACAUCGACCAUUUUCUAGAAAACCGAAGAAAAAAUCGUUUGAUGGCAAAGACAGACAGUGCACGUGCCGAAAUUUUAGCCAGUCAGGCGGGUUUAAAGGGGAGAAUCUCCCUUCAGCUUCAAAUUAAAUUGGGAACAGGGCCAAGGGGGCCGACAUAAUUAUCCAAUUCCUUUGGAAGCAGCCGAUCGAAAAAAAUCCAAUAAAUCGCCCAACUGACUGACACAAGGGGAAACACUCGAAUUAAGAUAUUUUACCGAAAUCCGUGCCGACUUCGAAAAAGUCGCGUUGAAAGCAAUGGAGACUUACGCAAAUAUUUAUCGAACACAAGCCUGGAAACGUGUUUUGGGUCCCCUUUUUUCUCCUCUGCUUCUAAUGCGAUUCCGGUUUAUGGAAAUGGAGAAACGGCACGUUUUCCAGAUGUUUUUGGGGGAGCGUUUGAAUCGCGUGGCUGUCGCACACAAACAGACGAACGCUGACGCGACGCCUGUUGAAUGUUUUGCUGGCAGGCGUCCCUCCAGCUCCGUAAUGCGACUUUUUCCCUUUCACAACCAGAAAAAUAUUUCAAAAUUGCCAUUUUUGCAGUUUGCAACUGUGAAAAUGUUGCCAAAUCGCGGUCGGUUUAC
Molecule: long non-coding RNA, 1322 nt
Organism: Dendroctonus ponderosae (mountain pine beetle)
Lineage: Eukaryota; Metazoa; Arthropoda; Insecta; Coleoptera; Curculionidae
Exons: 2
Source: RefSeq, a predicted model, not a curated record